UACGUAUGGGGCAAGCGUUAUCCGGAUUCAUUGGGCGUAAAGCGCGCGUAGGCGGCUUGGCAAGUCAGAUGUGAAAACUGGGGGCUCAACCCGCAGACUGCAUUUGAAACUGCCUUGCUUGAGUCUGGUAGAGGAAAGUGGAAUUCAGAGUGUAGCGGUGAAAUGCGCAGAUAUUCUGAGGAACACCAGUGGCGAAGGCGGCUUUCUGGGCCACGACUGACGCUAAGGCGCGAAAGCUAGGGGAGCAAACAGGAUUAGAUACCCCCGUA
This 269-nucleotide ribosomal RNA is filed under the name uncultured prokaryote. RNAcentral's name for it is "partial 16S ribosomal RNA". It matches the Rfam family "Bacterial small subunit ribosomal RNA", at positions 524 to 792 of the family's 1533-position model. The record is from RNAcentral.